Molecule: long non-coding RNA, 260 nt
Filed under: Homo sapiens (human)
Lineage: Eukaryota; Metazoa; Chordata; Mammalia; Primates; Hominidae
Description: HSALNT0114500
Source: RNAcentral
UAAGGUCUCUUUACAGACUGUUUAUAUGAUAUAAAAUAUAAUAAGUGCAGCUUAAGCUAUUAAGAUAAAGCCUUUAAAAUGACACGAGGACUACAUCAAGACAAAGUGAUCAAGUGAAUUGCAGAACUGGGGAACAGUGAAGGGCUGCGAACUUCCCAUCCAGAAUACUGUUUAGAAGAUGUCCACACUGAAUAUGUUUUAGAGCCUAGGAAAUAGGAAGAGAAUUUGUCAAGAUGUUCUUGGGGCUGCGGAGUCCAAGA